RNAcentral lists this ribosomal RNA (407 nucleotides) under uncultured bacterium. RNAcentral describes it as "partial 16S ribosomal RNA". It matches the Rfam family "Bacterial small subunit ribosomal RNA", at positions 30 to 526 of the family's 1533-position model. The record is from RNAcentral.
AUUGAACGCUGGCGGCAGGCCUAACACAUGCAAGUCGAGCGGAGCGGCGGAAGGGUGAGUAAUGCCUAGGAAUCUGCCUGGUAGUGGGGGAUACCGUCCGGAAACGGGCGCUAAUACCGCAUACUAUCAGAUGAGCCUCGGUCGGAUUAGCUAGUUGGUGGGGUAAAGGCCUACCAAGGCGACGAUCCGUAACUGGUCUGAGAGGAUGAUCAGUCACACUGGAACUGAGACAAGGUCCAGACUCCUAAGGGAGGCAGCAGUGGGGAAUAUUGGACAAUGGGCGCAAGCCUGAUGGAGCCAUGCCGCGUGAAUGAAGAAGGCCUUCGGGUUGUAAAGUACUUUUGUCGGGGAGGCGUUACCCGCAGAAGAAGCACCGGCUAACUCCGUGCCAGCCGCCGCGGUAAUUC